GAUGAACGCUGGCGGCGUGCCUAAUACAUGCAAGUCGAGCGAACAGACGAGGAGCUUGCUCCUCUGACGUUAGCGGCGGACGGGUGAGUAACACGUGGAUAACCUACCUAUAAGACUGGGAUAACUUCGGGAAACCGGAGCUAAUACCGGAUAAUAUAUUGAACCGCAUGGUUCAAUAGUGAAAGACGGUUUUGCUAUCACUUAUAGAUGGAUCCGCGCCGCAUUAGCUAGUUGGUAAGGUAACGGCUUACCAAGGCAACGAUGCGUAGCCGACCUGAGAGGGUGAUCGGCCACACUGGAACUGAGACACGGUCCAGACUCUUACGGGAGGCAGCAGUAGGGAAUCUUCCGCAAUGGGCGAAAGCCUGACGGAGCAACGCCGCGUGAGUGAUGAAGGUCUUCGGAUCGUAAAACUCUGUUAUUAGGGAAGAACAAAUGUGUAAGUAACUAUGCACGUCUUGACGGUACCUAAUCAGAAAGCCACGGCUAACUACGUG
Molecule: ribosomal RNA, 497 nt
Filed under: uncultured bacterium
Lineage: Bacteria
Description: partial 16S ribosomal RNA
Rfam family: Bacterial small subunit ribosomal RNA
Source: RNAcentral